GUAACCUAUUGCAAGUACCAUACGAAUAAGCAUCGGCUAACUCCGUGCCAGCAGCCGCGGUAAUACGGAGGAUGCGAGCGUUAUCCGGAUUUAUUGGGUUUAAAGGGUGCGUAGGCGGGAUUAUAAGUCAGCGGUGAAAGUUUGAGGCUCAACCUUAAAAUUGCCGUUGAAACUGUUUUUCUUGAGUAUAUUUGAAGUAGGCGGAAUUCGUGGUGUAGCGGUGAAAUGCAUAGAUAUCACGAAGAACUCCAAUUGCGAAGGCAGCUUACUAAACUAUAACUGACGCUGAAGCACGAAAGCGUGGGUAUCAAACAGGAUUAGAUACCCUGGUAGUCCACGCCGUAAACGAUGAUUACUAGCUGUUUGUGAUAUUACAAUAAGCGGCUAAGCGAAAGCGAUAAGUAAUCCACCUGGGGAGUACGCCGGCAACGGUG
This 434-nucleotide ribosomal RNA is filed under the name uncultured Dysgonomonas sp. RNAcentral's name for it is "bacterial SSU rRNA". It matches the Rfam family "Bacterial small subunit ribosomal RNA", at positions 461 to 896 of the family's 1533-position model. Lineage: Bacteria; Pseudomonadati; Bacteroidota; Bacteroidia; Bacteroidales; Dysgonomonadaceae. The record is from RNAcentral.